Molecule: ribosomal RNA, 250 nt
Filed under: uncultured prokaryote
Description: partial 16S ribosomal RNA
Rfam family: Bacterial small subunit ribosomal RNA
Source: RNAcentral
UACGUAGGGGGCAAGCGUUAUCCGGAUUUACUGGGUGUAAAGGGAGCGUAGGUGGCAUGGCAAGUCAGAAGUGAAAUGCGGGGGCUCAACCCCUGAACUGCUUUUGAAACUGUCAGGCUAGAGUGCUGGAGAGGUAAGUGGAAUUCCUAGUGUAGCGGUGAAAUGCGUAGAUAUUAGGAGGAACACCAGUGGCGAAGGCGGCUUACUGGACAGCAACUGACACUGAGGCUCGAAAGCGUGGGGAGCAAAC